GGCUCGGUCGGAAUUGCUGCCUCGUAGGGGCUGUGUAGGAAGACCUGGCCAGAGAAGCUGCUGCAGGAACAUUCUCCUACCUUCCGCCUCUGUUCUGCUUUGUUCUCUGCCUGUGAUCAGAAAGAAAGCCGACUCAGAAACCACUGAAUGUUGAGCUUCUCUGUCUCAUACUAGUCAGGAACUGGAGACCUCUCAGAGACCUUCUACAAAAGAGUGGAAACAGGUUUAUGGAAAACUUAAUGAACCCAAAACUUAUGGAACCCACCAUCUCUGCAUUCCUACCACAUGUGUUCAUUCUACAAGGAAUCACUGAGUGAAGAGGCACUGUCUGUCUCUGGCAUGGGAGUCACAGCAGUAAAGCCAGACAGAUGUUGCUUCUGAUUUCAAGAAGAGAAAACAAACACCAAACAAUACCUACAUGUCUCCAUAGAGAAACUCCAGAGCUUGCAUGGGAACUCCAGAAGGUCUGCAGAGUCAAACCAACCAAUCAUUUUUUUUGCCAAGAAUGGAGGUUAAAACAUUAGGCCUUAAUGUGUAUCCUGACUCCGUAAUCUACUAGACCUGUGGCUUUAGGUGUUGAAAAUGCUGAUUUGUAAAGAUAAGUUCUUACAAACAGAUUAAAGCUUUUAUAGCUACUUUACAAGACAAAGAUAGUGUCUUUCAAAAACCACCUGAAUUUUCCAAGAGUUUUAAAAUUAAACUACAAUCAUAGCGUGUGUGUGUGUGUGUGUGUGUGUGUGUGUGUGUGUGUGUUUUAACCUAAGACUAAUGAAUUUCUCCUUGGCUAGAUGCUCAUCUUAACAUACUUUAUAUCAGAAAGAAAAAGGAAUGAUGGUCCACAGUUGAACUUUGAUGCCAUCAAGAUAAAAUAACUUGUAAAACUUUCCAAAAUGUUUCCAGAUGUUUCUCUUUUCACAGAGAUUGGCAAAGAACUUUGUACCUCAUCUUCAUGGGGUAAAGCAUUCCCUCUAGCAUUGACAGUUGGCAAAGAUGUUCCACAUUAGCAGCUCAGGCAGGAAAUGUUGUAGAUUUCCAAGAGUAUCCAUUAAGGUGACAUUAAGACUCAUGUGCUGUGUUCAAAAGGCCCUGCUGCUUUACAGAGAAUUAAGAAUUCUUAUUUAAACUGUCUAGUUUUGCAAAAUUUUAAGAAGUAAUUCCUUGUAUUGAAUAGCAAACAAUUGUAGAUGGGCAAUCCUAUAAAGUAGCAUAAAUGUCUGCCAGCGUAUUAUAGGGGGAUGCUGCUAUAAGAAUAUGUGACUUCAUGUUUGGUGAAGGUACAGAGUUGACCAAUAACUGACUUACAACAUUGCACAAUAUCUGUAGACGCAAAGAUUAUGACCUCAUGUGAUCUAAUUUAAAAGUAAUAAUCAGUGGUGCACCUGGCUGGCUUAGUCAGUGGAGUAUGCAACUUUUGAUCUAGAGAUUGUAAAUUCCAGCCUCACGUUGGCUAUAGAGAUUACUUAAAUAUAAAAUCUUUAAAAAAAAAUAAUAAAAGUAAUAGUGAGGAGUGAUCUUUUGCAAUAUCUGCAAUAACUGUAAUGUGAUAUGAAAGCGUCUGUGGUUUUUCUUGGUAACAAAGUCACAGGAGUACUAAUACCCCUUGAUUUGUUACCUGUAUCCGUAAUUGAAAGGCAAUGAGAGUGACAUACAACAAAGGCAUACAUUUUUUUCUCUUCUAUUCCCCCAAAUUAUGACUUCCAUCCACACAACUCUUGUUCUAAAGAGAAAACUGAGACUACAAGUUUUUCUUCUGAAAUUUGAGAGGAAAAGUAUAUCAAAUGCCCUAAGAUCAGUGUACUCAUAAAAUUUCAUUAUCCAAUCCACUUUAGGUGGGGAAAGGAUUCUGUUACUGAUGAUACCAGAAAAACAGUCUCCAAACAAGAUCAUCCCUGGCAAACUGAGAUGUUUGGCUGUACUAUCCAAGACAGAAAAAAGAUUAAAACAGAAAACAAAAUAUUGCAGAUAUUAAAGGAGGCUUUAUUUUCUGCCCCCUGUACAAAGAAUCAUAGAAUCUGAGAGAAUUAUUGACUAUAGCCCAAAUUAAAGUUAGAACUUUUUGCUUGUAUCUCAGCAGAUAUAGUAAACCAUAGUCAUCAAUAAAGUAAUUUUCCUAUAUUUUGAAAAUGAGCUAAAUGAAGUUUUUUAGCACAAUGCAAAGUUUUCAUUGGUCUAAUACCCACACUCUCUGUUAAAAUUUUACCCUGGUUCGGGCAAAUUAACGUGCAAGUCUAAAUUAUUAUUAAAGUAUCUAAAAUAUAAUCUUUUUACCCGUUGACUAUAUCAUCACCUGUUGUAACCGAUGAUCUUAUGGUAGCUUAUGAACUCCUGAUACAAUAAAAGUAGAAUAGACAUCAAAAUUGUUGACUGUUUAUACCUUAGUAUUCAAGGGCUUGAGUAAAAAAAGUGGCUAGAGAUUUCUGAGAUUUCCCUAUAAGCUCAUUAGGCUUUGGAGUCCCAGUGCUCUGGAGACACAGGUGCACGGAAGAGGUAAGCCUCUGUAGUUUCUGCAGUUCUUUCCAAGAGGCAAAGGAAAGUAUUUUUCCAGAGGAAAAUCUCAGAAGGUUUAGGGAAAUUCUCAAGCUUUCCUUCAUGGGGAGAUAAAAUUGAGUGAAGAAAAGACACUAGGGAGGAAAAGGAGGAAGCACUCUUCUUGGGGGUCUACAAUGUGCCAGGUAUUUAACAUAUUACUGCAUUCAAUAAUAAAUCUGUACAGAGGCCCUUUUUCCUAUUUUACAGUAGAGUAAAUUUAGGAUCAGAAGAGGUAAUUAACUUGCAAAAGGUCACAAAGUGAGGAAGUACCAGAGAUAAAUUUUGAAAGCAAUCCAGAGCGUUCUUUGCUCCAAACUGACAACUUCACCCAGUGUGAUAUAUCAAGAAGAAAACUAUGCCUAUUGUGACCCCUUCUUGCCUCUGGAAUAUUGUGUCUGCCUCCUUCUGAAUAUGACAUCUAAGGAUGGUUGAGGAGAGAAGCAGGAAGCCCUGAGUCCCUGAGGGAAGUUCAGGUCCUUUGGGAGUACAGGUUAGGAAGAUGUUUCUUAGAAUAAAGUACAUAUUAAAGUUAAGUAGCUUUUGCUACAAAUGUUGGACUAUAAGAGCAGGAAGUUAAGGUUUUUCAAACCCUAAGGAAGGUUUUUUUUUUCCACAGUCCAAAGCAAUUAUCACUAUGACAUAACACACUCAUUGGGCUUUCAACCAAGUCAAUUAUGAUUUAUAUUCAUCAUAAUACAAAUAGAGAUUCAUUGCAACAUAUGUAGAAAACAUGGCUUGAAAUAUUGUUUCAUCAAUCUUUCCCCAUAUCUAUAGUCCAGCCCAUAUUUUCAGGCCUGAACUAUGUAACUAGAGCUGUUUCUGAUUAGCAAAAUUAGCUUCCACUCCCUUUUGUGUUAACAUGUAACACAAAAGCCUUAAAUUGAAGAUAAGACUGAUUGCCCUCUUUGAGUAAAGAGCUUUCAACAGAAAUCACAGUUAAUUGGAAAAGUUUCCCUUGAGAUAUAAACCACAGGGGAGAAAAAACAGGAAUAAUAAUGAAAAAUUAACAAAUUUAGUAUUUUAUUUUGUAAGGCAGCAUAAGUUUAACAGCAAUGAUAAUUAUACAAUUUAUAUUUAUUACAUUUUUUUCUGUCAAGAUACUCCACAAAUUUAAAUAAGAUUAUAUUUUUAAAAUUUAUUUAAGUAAUGUCUACACCCAACAUGGGGCUCAAACUCAUGACCCUGAGAUCAAGUGUUGAAUAUUACUCUGACUGAGCCAGCCAGGCGCCCUGAGAUUAUAAUAUAUGAUUGAAGAUCAAGGCUUCAUUCAGCCUUUGAUUCAUUCAUUCACUUCGUUAGCAUCAACAAUUUUUCACACAACAACAAUGUGCUGGACGUACCUGCCCUACUAGAACUCACAGACUGGUAUCGAAAUGUUCAGGAAGUACCCAGUCUUUAAUCCUCAAUUCUCUGACAAUAGAAGUCUAUGCAGACACAGCCAGGUAAGUAAAAAGAACAACAGAUGUUAAAUCAAAAGGGCAGAGUUCUCCCCUCGAUUCUGCCACUCUCUCCAUGAACAUAUUACUUAGAACUCUGUUUUAGAAAUAAUAGAAACUGGUUCAUAUCAGUUUAGGCAAAAACACACACACACAAAAAGGAAAAUUAUUAUAAACAUAUGUGUCAGGAGUGAUAUUUCUUAGUAUUUAAAUAUUAUCAACUUUUUCAAAAUUUCUCCUAUUCCCUCCUAACCCCCUCCCAAGUUUCCAGGGAGGGCAUUAUUUAUUAUUUUUAUUUAUUGUGAUGAGCAAUAAAGAUAACGAAAAGAAAUAACAAGAGAGGAAAGAUGGGGGGGCAGUGAGAACAAUGAGGUAUAAAUGCAUACAUGUUGAAAUGUAAGGGAGAGUAUUUUAAUUUGUCAUGUGAGUAGUUUCAAAACAGGCAUGGAAAACCAGGAGUCAGAUGAAAAUAGCUUAAAAAAUUUUUUUUAACAUUCAUUUCUUUUUGAG
Molecule: long non-coding RNA, 4475 nt
Organism: Felis catus (domestic cat)
Lineage: Eukaryota; Metazoa; Chordata; Mammalia; Carnivora; Felidae
Exons: 5
Source: RefSeq, a predicted model, not a curated record